RNAcentral lists this ribosomal RNA (113 nucleotides) under Sinocyclocheilus anshuiensis. Lineage: Eukaryota; Metazoa; Chordata; Actinopteri; Cypriniformes; Cyprinidae. The record is from RNAcentral.
GCAUACAGCCAUAUCACCCUGCAGCCCAAGACUGGUUGCCCACUGAAGCUAAGCAGGGCUGAGCCUGGUCAGUACCUGGAUGGGAGACCUCUUGGGAAAACUAGGUUGCUGCU